Molecule: long non-coding RNA, 816 nt
Filed under: Coturnix japonica (Japanese quail)
Lineage: Eukaryota; Metazoa; Chordata; Aves; Galliformes; Phasianidae
Description: lncRNA (ENSCJPG00005012294.1)
Source: RNAcentral
UUCGCUGUGCUGUCGUAACUUAUCCUGCUUAACAGAUUUUCUUGCUGUGCUUUAGGACGAGACGAAACUUGUACCUUAAGGCUUUGAAACACUUCUGAGAGGCUUCAAGCAACGUCUCUUGCUGUACAUGUCUGUAAACACUGAAGCCAUCGUGCAGAACAUGGAAGAGAGAGGAAGAGUGGUGGAAAUAAAGUAACAGCAAAGGAAGAAUUGAGCUGAAAGGUGCCAAAAGGAGUAAAAAGCACAUAAAAGAGAAAAAGAGGAAGGGAACAUCCUCUGCUCGUGUACACUGUGGCCAUUGGAAAAUACAUCUAUGAAGAUCACUCAGCAUCUCACUGCUUCGUGCCUCUCUCCCAUGUACUGAUAACACAGAGGAAUUCAGCUUGCUUCAUUAAAAGUGAAGGGAAGGAGCCUGGCAGAGGCACAGCCUGCACUCAGAAGUAAUGAACUCACUGUGACGGAGGACAGCUUGUUCUCUGCCCCUUAUUUAUUUACUCGCUCGUUUGCACGAUAACAGAUGGAUAUCAGCGUGUGCUGUGCAGAAGGUACAGCACUGCUAAACCGUCUGCAACCAGCUGCAAUGAAGAACUUCUCUCCUGAUAAGAGGUGAAGAGUAUGGCUUCAUUAGAUGAGCCAAGGAGGAAUGGGAAGAGGACAUGAUGCCUUGGAGAAACACAACAGGGCUAAACCCCGCGGAGGAAAAGGCAAUAUUUAACAUAGGACAGUGCUGCUAUGAGGACAGGCUGUGAGGACUCGUCAUAAGUUGAGACUGGAGAGCAGAAUAAAGUUUCUGAAUUCAGGAGAGAAAAAAGUAGA